Molecule: ribosomal RNA, 374 nt
Filed under: uncultured bacterium
Lineage: Bacteria
Description: bacterial SSU rRNA
Rfam family: Bacterial small subunit ribosomal RNA
Source: RNAcentral
GACGAACCGUGCGAACGUUGUUCGGAUUCACUGGGCUUAAAGGGCGCGUAGGCGGCGGCUCAAGUCGGGGGUGAAAUCCUCUCGCUUAACGAGAGAAUUGCUUUCGAUACUGGGUCGCUGGAGGGAGAUAGGGGUGCGCGGAACUUCCGGUGGAGCGGUGAAAUGCGUAGAUAUCGGAAGGAACGCCGGUGGCGAAAGCGGCGCACUGGAUCUCUUCUGACGCUGAGGCGCGAAAGCCAGGGGAGCAAACGGGAUUAGAUACCCCGGUAGUCCUGGCCCUAAACGAUGGGUACUAGGUAGUGGGCUUGCAUGGGCUCACUGCCGGAGCGAAAGUCUUAAGUACCCCGCCUGGGGAGUAUGGUCGCAAGGCUGAA